Molecule: ribosomal RNA, 468 nt
Filed under: uncultured bacterium
Lineage: Bacteria
Description: partial 16S ribosomal RNA
Rfam family: Bacterial small subunit ribosomal RNA
Source: RNAcentral
GACGAACGCUGGCGGCGUGCUUAACACAUGCAAGUCGAACGGAAAGGCGCGGCGUUUGUGGGGUGCUCGAGUGGCGAACGGGGGAGUAACACGUGAGUAACCUGCCCUUGACUGUGGGAUAACUUCAGGAAACUGGGGCUAAUACCGGAGAGGAUCUCCUGCUGCAUGGUGGGGGUUGGAAAGUGUCGGCGGUUGGGGAUGGACUCGCGGGUUAUGAGCUUGUUGGUGGGGUAGUCGCUGACCAAGGCUUUGACGGGUAGCCGGCCUGAGAGGGUGACCGGGGACAUUGGGACUGCGAUACGGAGCAGAAUGCUACGGGAGGCAGCAGUGGGGAAUAUUGCACAAUGGGCGGAAGCCUGAUGCAGAAACGCCGCGUGCGGGAUACCGGCUUUCGAGUUGUAAACAGCUUUCGACUGUGCCGAAGCGUGCGUGACGGUAAUGGGUAAAGAAGCACCGGCUAACUACGUG